RNAcentral lists this microRNA precursor (58 nucleotides) under Brachypodium distachyon (stiff brome). Its description in RNAcentral is "miR9498 stem-loop (bdi-MIR9498)". The record is from miRBase by way of RNAcentral. Lineage: Eukaryota; Viridiplantae; Streptophyta; Magnoliopsida; Poales; Poaceae.
UUGACCGUCAAGUGGUUGUUGAGAAGACGACUUUGCCCAUAACCUUUUGUGGUCAAUU